This 159-nucleotide small RNA is filed under the name Saccharothrix sp. ST-888. RNAcentral describes it as "c-di-AMP riboswitch aptamer (ydaO/yuaA leader)". It matches the Rfam family "c-di-AMP riboswitch aptamer (ydaO/yuaA leader)". Rfam says of the family: This family represents a conserved RNA structure found upstream of the ydaO and yuaA genes in Bacillus subtilis and related genes in other bacteria. Lineage: Bacteria; Bacillati; Actinomycetota; Actinomycetes; Pseudonocardiales; Pseudonocardiaceae. RNAcentral also lists the same sequence under 1 other name. The record is from Rfam by way of RNAcentral.
CGUGCGCCGUCGCCCAAUCCUCGGGGUCUGCCCACGCGGCAGGCCCGGGAGCCGGGGAACCACGUUCCUGGGGUGAAUCGGGUGGGCCUCGGUCCGCCCGUAGGAGACCUUCCUGCUCCGAACCCGUCAGCUAACCCGGUCGGCGCGAAGGAAGGAAAG